Molecule: ribosomal RNA, 459 nt
Filed under: uncultured beta proteobacterium
Lineage: Bacteria; Pseudomonadati; Pseudomonadota; Betaproteobacteria
Description: bacterial SSU rRNA
Rfam family: Bacterial small subunit ribosomal RNA
Source: RNAcentral
ACGGGAGGCAGCAGUGGGGAAUUUUGGACAAUGGGGGCAACCCUGAUCCAGCCAUGCCGCGUGAGUGAAGAAGGCCUUCGGGUUGUAAAGCUCUUUCGGUGGGAACGAAACGGGUGGUGCUAAUACCAUCACUCAAUGACGGUACUCACAGAAGAAGCACCGGCUAACUACGUGCCAGCAGCCGCGGUAAUACGUAGGGUGCGAGCGUUAAUCGGAAUUACUGGGCGUAAAGCGUGCGCAGGCGGUGCACCAAGCUCGAUGUGAAAGCCCCGGGCUUAACCUGGGAAUUGCAUUGAGGACUGGUGUGCUCGAGUGCGGCAGAGGGGGGUGGAAUUCCACGUGUAGCAGUGAAAUGCGUAGAGAUGUGGAGGAACACCGAUGGCGAAGGCAGCCCCCUGGGCCGACACUGACGCUCAUGCACGAAAGCGUGGGGAGCAAACAGGAUUAGAUACCCUGGUA